GAUUAGAGUGUUUAGGGUUUAAGAAACCUUUUCCUAUUCUCAAACUUUAAAUAAGGCCUUAAAAAGAGGGGAUUGCUUGAACUGUGAAUCUCGCUCUGUAACACUUUUCACUUCUAGUGGACCAUUUCUGGUAAGCAGGACUGGUGAUGCGGGUUGCUCCGAACAUUUCAGUUAAAUGUGCCAAAACUCUCACCUCAAUCCAGAUCCCACAAAGAAUAUGUUUUCAUUCAGACAGCCGGGCGGUGGCCAUGGAAGUUGGUAUCCGCAUAAGGAGUGUGUAACAACUCACCGGCCAAAUGAAAACGUUUCGAAAAUGGAUGGCGCUAAAGGUGAGUUGGAAAAAACUUAUACUGAAUAAAGGGAAAGAGUACUUGAAAAAAGUUUCCCUUUUGUAGGAGGACGUGGAGAUUCAUUAUAAAAAAUAUCUAAAGUAUAAGGUUUGAACCUUUAUGAAAUAAUCUCUAGUGCAGAUCUUGGUGGUAGUAGCAACUAUUCAAAGGAAUCACGUUUACGAAAGGUG
This 520-nucleotide ribosomal RNA is filed under the name uncultured eukaryote. RNAcentral describes it as "eukaryotic LSU rRNA". It matches the Rfam family "Eukaryotic large subunit ribosomal RNA", at positions 1019 to 1493 of the family's 3401-position model. The record is from RNAcentral.